AGGGAUGUAGCCAAGUGGUAAGGCAUCGCCCUUUGGCGGCGACAUGCGUAGGUUCGAGUCCUGCCAUCCCUG
RNAcentral lists this transfer RNA (72 nucleotides) under Chlorobiota bacterium. RNAcentral's name for it is "tRNA-Gln". It matches the Rfam family "tRNA". Rfam says of the family: Transfer RNA (tRNA) molecules are approximately 80 nucleotides in length. Their secondary structure includes four short double-helical elements and three loops (D, anti-codon, and T loops). Further hydrogen bonds mediate the characteristic L-shaped molecular structure. tRNAs have two regions of fundamental functional importance: the anti-codon, which is responsible for specific mRNA codon recognition, and the 3' end, to which the tRNAs corresponding amino acid is attached (by aminoacyl-tRNA synthetases). tRNAs cope with the degeneracy of the genetic code in two manners: having more than one tRNA (with a specific anti-codon) for a particular amino acid; and 'wobble' base-pairing, i.e. permitting non-standard base-pairing at the 3rd anti-codon position. The record is from RNAcentral. Lineage: Bacteria; Pseudomonadati; Chlorobiota.